UGACGACGAGACGCUAACGCGUUGAAGCAGUGUACGUCAGACUUCCAAGAAAAGCUCGCAAUGUCAUAAAUAAAAAUGCCUGUACCAUAACCGACACAGGUGGGUAGGUAGAGUAUACUAAGGGGCGCGAGAUAACUCUCUCUAAGGAACUCGGCAAAAUGACUCCGUAACUUCGGGAGAAGGAGUGCCUUAUUUAUAAGGUUGCAAUAACAAGAUCCAAGCAACUGUUUAUCAAAAACACAGGUCUCCGCUAAGUCGUAAGACGAUGUAUGGGGGCUGACGCCUGCCCAGUGCCAGAAGGUUAAAGAAGUUGGUUAGUGUAUGCGAAGCUGAUGACUGAAGCCCUGGUGAACGGCGGCCGUAACGAUAACGGUCCUAAGGUAGCGAAAUUCCUUGUCGGGUAAGUUCCGACCCGCACGAAAGGCGUAAUGAUUUGGAUACUGUCUCGGAGAGAGGCUCGGUGAAAUAGACUUGUCUGUGAAGAUGCGGACUACCUGCACCAGGACAGAAAGACCCUAUGAAGCUUUACUGUAACUUGAAAUUGGAAUUGGACUUUGCUUGCGCAGUAUAGGUGGGAAGCGUUGAAGAUAUUCUUGCGGGAGUAUUGGAGCUAUCAGUGAGAUACCACUCUUGUAAUAUUAGAUUUCUAACUUUGAACCAUAAUCUGGUCAAAGAACAGUUUCAGGUGGGCAGUUUGACUGGGGCGGUCGCCUCCCAAAUGGUAACGGAGGCGUACAAAGGUUUCCUCUGAACGGAUAGAAAUCGUAUCUAGAGUGUAAAGGCAUAAGGAAGCUUGACUGUGAGACCUACAAGUCGAGCAGGGACGAAAGUCGGUCUUAGUGAUCUGACGGUACUGAGUGGAAAGGCCGUCACUCAACGGAUAAAAGUUACUCUAGGGAUAACAGGCUGAUCUCCCCCAAGAGUUCACAUCGACGGGGAGGUUUGGCACCUCGAUGUCGGCUCAUCGCAUCCUGGGGCGGUAGUACGUCCCAAGGGUUGGGCUGUUCGCCCAUGAAAGCGGUACGCGAGCUGGGUUCAGAACGUCGUGAGACAGUUCGGUCCAUAUCCGGUGUAGGCGUUAGAAUAUUGAGAGGAGCCUUCUUUAGUACGAGAGGACCGAGAAGGACACACCGCUGGUGUACCAGUUAUCGUGCCAACGGUAAACGCUGGGUAGCUAUGUGUGGAGUGGAUAACCGCUGAAAGCAUCUAAGUGGGAAGCCCACCUCAAGAUGAGUAUUCUC
RNAcentral lists this ribosomal RNA (1241 nucleotides) under metagenome. RNAcentral's name for it is "bacterial LSU rRNA". It matches the Rfam family "Bacterial large subunit ribosomal RNA", at positions 1564 to 2815 of the family's 2925-position model. The record is from RNAcentral.